RNAcentral lists this ribosomal RNA (492 nucleotides) under uncultured bacterium. RNAcentral's name for it is "partial 16S ribosomal RNA". It matches the Rfam family "Bacterial small subunit ribosomal RNA", at positions 29 to 507 of the family's 1533-position model. The record is from RNAcentral.
AGUGAACGCUGGCGGUAGGCCUAACACAUGCAAGUCGAACGGCAGCACAGUAAGAGCUUGCUCUUACGGGUGGCGCGUGGCGGACGGGUGAGGAAUACAUCGGAAUCUACUCUUUCGUGGGUGCUAGCGUAGGGAAACUUACUCUAAUACCGCAUACGACCUACGGGUGAAAGCAGGGGAUCUUCUGACCUUGCGCGAUUGAAUGAGCCGAUGUCGGCUUAGCUAGUUGGCGGGGUAAAGGCCCACCAAGGCGACGAUCCGUGGCUGGUCUGAGAGGAUGAUCAGACACAUUGGAACAGAGACACGGUCCAGACACCUGCGGGAGGAAGCAGUGGGGAAUAUUGGACAAUGGGGGCAAGCCUGAUCCAGCCAUACCGCGUGGGUGAAGAAGGACUUCGGGUUGUAAAGCCCUUUUGUUGGGAAAGAAAAGCAGCAGGUUAAUACCCCGCUGUUCUGACGGUACCCAGAGAAUAAGCACCGGCUAACUUCGUG